Molecule: long non-coding RNA, 1050 nt
Filed under: Panax ginseng (ginseng)
Lineage: Eukaryota; Viridiplantae; Streptophyta; Magnoliopsida; Apiales; Araliaceae
Description: long non-coding RNA (PGIN_LNC001423)
Source: RNAcentral
UAGUUCUUUUCAUUCAGUUCUAAAGGGAGCUGAAUCCUUGUUACAAGUAAUCGAUUAAUUGAGUAUUAUUAUUUAUUCCUUCUUGUGUGAAAUUUCUUCUGCUAAUCUAUUUUCAUUGAUUGCAUGUUAAUUGAUCUAAUUGAUUUAAUAUGGCUAAUUGAGUUAAUUUGAUCAUUAUCAUCUGCUAGAUUAAGAUUAGUAUUAUGUGUAAUUGAUAUUUGUCUUCAACACAAGUAGCAACUUGGUAAUAAUAAUUGUGGACAAGCUUUUGUUUAUUGCUAAGAUUAUCAGAAAAUAAGUUAAACAAAUCGAGCUUAUGUGUUUGUUGCUUGGAUUAGCCUAAUUUUCUAUUUCUUAAUGCUUCUAUCAUAUUAAAUCUAGAGAGCUUGUUCUAGGUUGUAUGCUAGUUAGAAUCUGGUGAAGAGCUUGUUUCAUACAGUGAUAAUCUAAGGAGAAUUUCAGAUAUCAGAGCUUAUUGUUAUCUAGGGCUAAUAAUUUCAUUGAAGGGAAAAUAAUAAUUACUUGAUUAAUUGAUUGUUGUACUUGGUGAAACUGAACUGCAGAACUGAAGUUUUUACAUAUUUGGUUAAUUUCAUCUUUAAUUCUUGUUCUCUUAGUUUAAAAAAAAUUUUCAAAAACCCCCCAUCUUAAUUUUUUAUUGAAAUAGUAGAAUAAUUCUAAAACAACUUUACUCUUUGUGGGAUCGAUCCUUACUUGCUAAUGUGCUAAUUAUUAUAAAUUGUGAAGUGAAAGUGAGGUUAAUUUAGGAGUGUCAACGGCAGCUCCCAAAUUUUGGCACUGUUACCGGGGAGUAAUUUGGCGUUUUCUUUUUAUUCUAUUAUUUGUUUUGUUCUUGUUUUAUGACUCAAUCUUCUCAGGCUACUAUAUUAGAUUUUGAUCCAGAGAUUGAGAAAACUGCAAGGAGGCUAAAGAAGGAAAAACUUAAACUUCAACAGUCUUCUGCAGAUAUAGACGAGGCUUCUGCAUCUUCUAUGGCGACCCCAAAUCCGGGUACUUGAAACCCGAACUCGGUUCUCCACGAUACCAUUU